UACGUAGGGUGCGAGCGUUAAUCGGAAUUACUGGGCGUAAAGCGUGCGCAGGCGGUUUUGUAAGCCAGAUGUGAAAGCCCCGGGCUUAGCCUGGGAAUGGCAUUUGGGACUGCAAGGCUGGAGUGUGGCAGAGGAGACUGGAAUUCCUGGUGUAGCAGUGAAAUGCGUAGAUAUCAGGAGGAAUACCGAUGGCGAAGGCAGGUCUCUGGGCUGACACUGACGCUCAUGCACGAAAGCGUGGGGAGCAAACAGG
RNAcentral lists this ribosomal RNA (253 nucleotides) under uncultured bacterium. RNAcentral's name for it is "partial 16S ribosomal RNA". It matches the Rfam family "Bacterial small subunit ribosomal RNA", at positions 524 to 776 of the family's 1533-position model. The record is from RNAcentral.